Molecule: non-coding RNA, 72 nt
Organism: Nipponia nippon (crested ibis)
Lineage: Eukaryota; Metazoa; Chordata; Aves; Pelecaniformes; Threskiornithidae
Source: Rfam
GGGGAUGUAGCUCAGCGGGAGAGCGCUUGCUUUGCAUGUAAGAGGCCCUGGGUUCAACCCCCAGCAUCUCCA